CGCUCCACUGACUGAGCCGGCCUGGCGCCCUGAACAACAUUUUUUUUUUUUAACUCCGAAAUGGACAAAGGAGGAAGGAAGAGACACCAGGAGACGCGGCCCCACAGUGGACCGAUGUCAGCAUCCCGUGAGCGUCCUCAGGGAGUUUGUGUUUUUAUGCGAAUGGGAUCAUUUUUUUUUCGUGCUGCUGAAGGUUUUUUUGUUUGUUUUUUACUCUUUCUUUAGAAAUGACCACAGGUUCACGGGCACUCGCAAAGGGCGUACAGGGAAGCCCCUACACCCGGCGCCCACUCCGUCCGCGCUGACGCCUAGUGCGGGGCCGGCACGGGGUGGCCGGAGCUCUGAGCCGCUGUGCCACGUGUCCGCGUGUGUGCCCGGCACCCCGUCAGGAUAUGGAGCGUUCCCGUCACCGCGGAGAGCCCCCCCGGCUGACCCGUUGCCACCCCCCACCGCCGGGCCCCACGGAUCUGCUGUCCGUGUCCAUGAGUGUGUCAUCGUGAGAAUGUUCUCUCCCCGCCUUUGGAGAUGCGCUUCUCCCAUGGAGCACAAGCCCCGAGGGCCCACCCGGCCGUUGCCCCUCCGCAGUGUGGCCUUUGUCUCGCCAGGUGGUUUUCUGCGGCGUGCGGGUGCCGGCUGGCUUGCUGAGGGGCCCCUGGGUCGGUGCCCAUCGGGGGCCGUCGUGUUCGUGCGCGGGCUCUGCGCGGAUACGAAAGUCUCACUUCUCUGGGGUGAAUGCCAGGGACGAAUCGGGCAGUUGCCGGGUCACGGCCUGUUUCCCACGCCGUCUGAUGGGCCGUUUCUUCCCUUGUCCCCGGAUACGGACGUGCGUUCUCGCUUAGGGCGGCCCCUCGGGAUCCCCCCACGUGAAAGUGCCAUCCCGAAGGCCACGGGCAGAACCCCAGGAGCUGUGGAGACAGCAGCACGGCAAACCCUGGGUGACAUGAUGCUCCGUGCUGUCCCGACACCAAGGUCGCAUGACAGCGGCAACACCGGGCCUCUGGAACUUUCAGGGAACGACCCGAGUCUGCCCUCAAGCUGCAGAGAGGCCACAGAACAUUUGGAAACAUACCUGGCUCCCUAGGGAUCCGGGCCUGCAUGCCUGGCCUCUUCCUGCUCUGCCUGGGGACCCUCCCUGCCCCAAAAAAGAUUCGUCCAUGUUAUAAACCCUGGAAACUGAUUUUGAGCUUACUUCUUU
Long non-coding RNA from Herpailurus yagouaroundi (jaguarundi), 1195 nucleotides. RefSeq lists it as uncharacterized. The transcript has 2 exons. The record is from RefSeq and is a predicted model, not a curated record. NCBI's taxonomy places the organism in Eukaryota, Metazoa, Chordata, Mammalia, Carnivora, Felidae.